GAUGAAGAACGUAGCGAAAUGCGAUAAGUAGUGUGAAUUGCAGAAUUCAGUGAAUCAUCGAAUCUUUGAACGCACAUUGCGCCUUCUAGUAUUCUGGGAGGUAUGCCUGUUUGAGCGUCAUUAAACCUCUCUCAAGUAUGAUUACUUGGAUGUGAAGGAAGAGUACCUUAAACUUAAGGAGUGUUCUCCUUUGAAAUUGAUUAGCAGAUGGUAAUGUUAUUAAAUCCCUGAUGUUGUAAGAAAUAACAGUGGUUUUGUAGACUAUUAUCUAGCUUUAAAUUAUAAUUUUUAUUAUGGUUGACCUCAAAUCAGGUAAGGAUACCCGCUGAACUUAAGCAUAUCAAUAAGCGGAGGA
RNAcentral lists this unclassified non-coding RNA (355 nucleotides) under soil metagenome. RNAcentral describes it as "partial contains 5.8S ribosomal RNA, internal transcribed spacer 2, and large subunit ribosomal RNA". The stretch from base 1 to 120 matches the Rfam family "5.8S ribosomal RNA", at positions 35 to 154 of the family's 154-position model. The record is from RNAcentral.